This 200-nucleotide ribosomal RNA is filed under the name uncultured bacterium. Its description in RNAcentral is "partial 16S ribosomal RNA". It matches the Rfam family "Bacterial small subunit ribosomal RNA", at positions 524 to 721 of the family's 1533-position model. The record is from RNAcentral.
UACGUAGGGUGCAAGCGUUGUCCGGAAUUAUUGGGCGUAAAGAGCUCGUAGGCGGUCUGUCGCGUCUGCUGUGAAAACUCAGGGCUUAACCCUGAGCUUGCAGUGGGUACGGGCAGACUAGAGUGCGGUAGGGGAGACUGGAAUUCCUGGUGUAGCGGUGAAAUGCGCAGAUAUCAGGAGGAACACCCGGGUGGCGAAGG